CGGGGUGCAGCAGGCGCGAAAACUUUACAAUGCUGGCAACAGCGAUAAGGGGACCUCGAGUGCCAGGAUACAAUCUUGGCUGUCGUGAUGCCUAAAAAGCAUUACAUAGCAAGGGCCGGGCAAGACCGGUGCCAGCCGCCGCGGUAACACCGGCGGCUCGAGUGGUAACCGCUAUUAUUGGGUCUAAAGGGUCUGUAGCCGGCCGGAUAAGUCUCUUGGGAAAUCCAGCAGCUCAACUGUUGGGCUUCCAGGGGAUACUGUUCGGCUCGAGGCCGGGAGAGGUGAGAGGUACUUCAGGGGUAGGGGUGAAAUCUUGUAAUCCUUGAAGGACCACCAGUGGCGAAGGCGUCUCACCAGAACGGUCCUGACGGCAAGGGACGAAAGCUAGGGGCACGAACCGGAUUAGAUACCCGGGUAGUCCUAGCCGUAAACGAUACUCGCUAGGUGUCGGCCACGGUGCGACCGUGGUCGGUGCCGUAGGGAAGCCGUGAAGCGAGCCACCUGGGAAGUACGGCCGCAAGGCUGAAACUUAAAGGAAUCGGCGGGCGAGC
This 551-nucleotide ribosomal RNA is filed under the name uncultured archaeon. RNAcentral describes it as "bacterial SSU rRNA". It matches the Rfam family "Archaeal small subunit ribosomal RNA", at positions 326 to 877 of the family's 1478-position model. The record is from RNAcentral.